This is a long non-coding RNA of Parus major (Great Tit), 2280 nucleotides long. Lineage: Eukaryota; Metazoa; Chordata; Aves; Passeriformes; Paridae. The record is from Ensembl.
AGACGCUGCGCCUGGCGUCCAGCUACAUCUCGCACCUGGCCAACGUGCUGCUGCUGCAGCAGCGCCGGCAGGACGAGGCGGCCGCCGCCGAGCAGCCCUGUCCGCAGCCCUGCCCGCAGCCCUGUCCGCAGCCCUGUCCGCAACCCUGCCCGCAGCCCUGUCCGGAGCCCGCUCAGCCCCCGCAGCCCUGCCCGCAGCCCUGUUCGCCACCAGGAGCCUCCGCGCCUCGGUCCAUCUGCACCUUCUGCCUCAGCGACCAGCGGCAGCGGCACCGAGAAAAAGAGAAACCAUCACCUGGUCCAGCCGUAACCGGACUCUGAACAGGCUGAGGGUCUCGCACCACUCCUGCUCUGACUGUACCACUGCACUGGGUAACAUCGCCUCACUCGUGCUGCAUGUUUACAUUUAGAUAGCACAGUCCUAAAAGAGUUACUUUUUAAGCCUAUGCACUUUGUUUCAUAUUGUGAGGGGUUUUUUCAGGGUGUUUUGCGAAUGAAAUUCGCUGCCUCUGUUGAGACGGUUGCACCUGGUGCGGCAGCUAUUUUAGCGCGAGAAAUGUUAAACCUCAGCAGCCAAGCCCUGAUCCUGAUGCCUCCUAAACCUGUGUCGCAUGAUGAAACUUGAACUUCCAAACACACGGUGUCCCCUGUCAGGGGAAGCUGCAGUGAACACGCCGUGCCCUACGCCUCCAGCCCAGCCCGGGCUGCACGCAGCGCUGCCGCCCACUCCUCCAGCUGCACGCCAGUCCCCGGGGACAGGGGCCGAUGCCGACAGCUGACAUGCUUGAGAGGUCUCAGCGAUGCUGGAAGAUUAUUUUGAGGUGUUCACAGAAAGUCGGAAAACUUCCAGCGAAAGCAGCCCGGUUGGCUGUGCACAGGCGCUGCAACACGGGAUGUAUCCAGCACAGGAGAGGAAAGGGGAGAAGUGCAGUGUAAGCGAUGCUCUUUUCUUAUUAACAGGGCGAGUCGUGCCAGUCCUUUAAAUAGCACAGGAUAUUCCUACAUCUGCCGGGCAAGGAGGGUUUCCCAAGGGCUUUUACCCAUCACCCAGGUAGUUCCAUAACUGCCCCGUACAUCACUGAGGUUGUUUAUCUCCCCUCAGUUUACUAACUUGUAUACUUUUUUUCAGAAGUAACUGUAAAAGGCAAAUAAGAUUUUCUGUUUUCAGGUUUGGACAUUAGUGAAGCAGCAAGCUAAAAUCUUAAACCCCAGUAAUGCUGAGGUUUAAGAAACACAGAGAUAGGUUAAUUUUGCAAUGUUUUUUAUAGCUAUUUGUAAUACAAUUAAUUAGGCUUUAAUUAAUCUAAACUCGUUAUUUGGGGAGGCACUCUGUAACUGUAACCACUCCAAGUGCUGCAAGGAAAACUUUCCUUUUUCCUCCCCUGAUGCCAUCUGUGCAGUGCUCCUGGCCAGCCUUGCUGCUCUGGCCAAACUUGAGGGCUGAAGAAGCAGCUCUGUGUUGUUCACUUUCUUUUCUAUAGAGAGUUUUCUCUCCUUGCCCUACAUAAGUGCAAAGCAAAAUCUGGCAGUCGUUAUGAAGAACUUGGCAAGAGCAAGGUUGUGGUGUACUCCUACACAACUUCACCUUUUCAGUUUCCCUUUUUUCCUGCUCAACAUACAGCGGCCACUUUUUCUGUGGCACAAUGAGGAAAAAUCUGCUGUACCUACAGAAAUGCAGUGAGCUCUUCCUUUGAAUUCUAACAAGGCAAAAUCCCAGCAAUUCCACAUCACAUCAAGUCUCUUCAGUUAUUAAAAGCUACAGGUUGUAUUUUCCUGGAUUGAGAGGAGAUUCUUGUUUUUAGGUUUCUAUCAUUAAUCUUUUUUUUAAUGGGGAACUUUCAAUUGCUGCCAGAUCAUGGUCUUUGCUUUGGCACUGAUUUGUGAAGCUGGAACUCUUUAUAGCUUUGUACAGUGUUUUUUAAUUUUUGUGUUGUGUCAGCCUCUGUGUGUGGGUAUAGAGCUCUACAAACAUACCUUCCUGGAUUUAUUUUUUUUAAUCAAUUUGAAAAAAAUUGUUUUUUAAAAAGUCAUUUGCUUCACAAUUAAAGCUGAUCUUACAGUUCAGCCCAACAUUCUUAUGAACACAUUAAACCAAAACAUCUGACCUCUUUAUAGACAAUUAACACUAAUUUAUUCAUUUAGCUGUAUCAUUUCAUAUGAUACCCUAAAAUGGCAAAACAUAAUGCAGUUUCAAACAAUUCUAGGAAAAUUUUGCAUUGAGUAUGCUCUGAAUUUUGAAUUUUGUAGGAAAGACAAUAAAAUUAUUUAUUUCAGGUUUUCA